UACACUGAAAUAUUUACAGAAGAAAUAUGAUUUCUCACAUUUGCUUCAAAAGUAUGAAGGGAGAGAGAUGGGGCCAGAUAAAGGAAGACUGUCUUCAAAUGGACAAGUGCUGAAGCUGGGUAGUGGGUUCAUGGGGUCUCAUUCUAUUUUUCUAAUUGUGUGUCUAUUUAUUAUACAAAAUAUGCAACUUAUCCAUAAUAGGAUGCUGAAGAAUACUUAAAGGGUCAACAUGUGUCUGUCCUCUUGAUUUGGCCCAGCAUCUGCCAGAUUGUGGCCUCUAUAUCUAAUGAGCUUCAGUCUCCACUCAACUCUACCUUCACCCCUGAACUCUAAGUGUUAAGGCCCUUUAUCACUAAACCUGGCUGUCCCAACCUUUCUCUGGUCCCUUUUCAGGUCCUUUCUCAGAGAUGCCCAUCUCCCAGCGAUGGUGACAUCGUGGCAAAGAGGAGCAUGACACAAUCCACAAAGACCAGGGCAGGUUCCCUGACAGGGAAAACACCCAGGAACAGGGAGCUGGGUGUCAGGGGCCGUCACCACCCAGCGCCCUUCGUUUAGUUCCCAACUCCUCUGCCCAAUUCCUUAACCUCAAGGUCAAAGAUACACACACACACACCUGUCUAGAUCGCCCACCUUUUCCUUCAGCAUUCCAGAGCCCAGACAAAGGUUAUCGACCAACCAGGAAAAUAAAAAGAGGGCAUCUCUCCCGGAACAGUUCGGAUUAGAGAAGAGAGUCGUAAUCUGGGGAGAUGGAGCCUUUGAAGCGCGGGAGGGGAGCGGGUCCCCUGACCCGCAGGCACGAGUGAGACACCGCGUUGGAGACAGGCCGGACUGAUGGAAUCUGCGACUGCAGAACCAGCAGAUCCACAGGACCCACUGUAGUAUUCUCCCCAAGCAACAGAGGAGGGAGCAAGGAACCACCACUUCCUCUCUUCUACCCCACCAGUCUCCCUGGUCCAUACCCACAUAGUUUCAUAGACUCAUGGUUCUCAAACUUUGGCAUGCAUCAAAAUCACCUGGAGAGCUUGUUAAAAACAUGGCAAGAAAAAAAAAAAACCACUCCCAGAGGGACUUCUCUGGUGGUCCAGUGGUUGAGAGUCUACUUGCCAAUUCAGGGUUAUAGGUUUGAUUUCUGUUCUGGAAAGAUCCCACAUGCCUGAGAGCAACUAAGCCCAUGAGCCUCAACUACUGAGCUCCUGCCCUAGAGCCCCAGAGCUGCAACCACUGAGCCUGUGUGCUCUAGAAGCCGUGCUCAGCAGCAAGAGAAGCCACUUCAAGAAGAAGCCUGUGCACCGCAUCUAGACAGUAGCCCCGGCUUGCCACAACCAGAGAAAGCCCCCAUAGAGCAAUGAUACAGGGCAGCUGAAAAUAAUAAAUAAACAGUUUUUUAAAAAUUGCCAGAGAGUCUGAUG
RNAcentral lists this long non-coding RNA (1409 nucleotides) under Bos grunniens (domestic yak). Its description in RNAcentral is "lncRNA (ENSBGRG00000022312.1)". The record is from RNAcentral. Lineage: Eukaryota; Metazoa; Chordata; Mammalia; Artiodactyla; Bovidae.